RNAcentral lists this ribosomal RNA (253 nucleotides) under uncultured bacterium. RNAcentral's name for it is "partial 16S ribosomal RNA". It matches the Rfam family "Bacterial small subunit ribosomal RNA", at positions 524 to 776 of the family's 1533-position model. The record is from RNAcentral.
UACGUAGGGGGCUAGCGUUGUCCGGAUUUAUUGGGCGUAAAGCGCGUGUAGGCGGCCAGGUAGGUCCGUUGUGAAAGCUCGAGGCUCAACCUCGAGACGCCGGCGGAAACCAUCUGGCUAGAGUCCGGAAGAGGAGAGUGGAAUUCCCGGUGUAGCGGUGAAAUGCGCAGAUAUCGGGAAGAACACCCGUGGCGAAGGCGGCUCUCUGGGACGGUACUGACGCUGAGACGCGAAAGCGUGGGGAGCGAACAGG